Meleagris gallopavo (turkey) is the source of this 4395-nucleotide non-coding RNA. NCBI's taxonomy places the organism in Eukaryota, Metazoa, Chordata, Aves, Galliformes, Phasianidae. The record is from RefSeq and is a predicted model, not a curated record.
AAGAAGAACAGACUGAAAAAAUGCUGCUUAUCCUAUAGUGUGUGUGCUGCUGGGAGGAGGAGUGUGAGAGGCAGCUGGCCAUGGCUGGGAAUGGCCACCCUGCCAAGAAGCACCCUGAUAAGGAUGGAAAUCCUUGUGUAACACUUCCUUAGUUAUCAGAGGGAAAGAAACACUUGAAAAAACAUUGUUUUCCCAGAGGAAAGCAGCACCAACAGAGCAAUUACUUUUUUUUUCUUUAGCUUGUUCUCUGUUGACUUGCUGACACCAGCACAGCCAUUCAGGCUGUGCACUCUCUGCCACUUUACCCAUCUCUGCAGGUGCCCUCUGAGAUCAGUCAGCUCCUGGUUCAAUGCAUACCCUUCCUUGGUCAGGGCUGCAGGUGUGGUGUUCAGCAAAAGGAAAGCCAGAGUGAUUUUCACAGAAUCCAGCUAGCAAAUGAUGCACUCACAGCCCACUGGCUUGCUCAGUUACUUUUGGUAGUUCUUGUAAAUGGCUUUUAUUAACCUCAUGAUUCCAAACGGCCCAGCUUCCAAACUCCUCUGCAGGGCCUGGCUCUGUGCUGCAUUGCAGCAGGCCCAGAGGGAAGCACUGGAGCUAUUUAGGGAGACAAAAUGCACUUAGAAUCCAUGGAAUCUGCCCGGGAUCUUGAGGCUGUCAUCCCACCUCGUGCAGCACACUGACAGCCACACGUGGCACGCAGCUUGGAGAUGCCCCAUCCCAGCAGGGUGAGCAGAGUGGCACUGAGCAUCCCCCGGUGCUGGGUGCUGCUGUGCAUUGCUGUGUGCCACAGCAGGGCUCUGGUGGCCUUGUGACAGAGCUUUCUCGUGCAAACCCACAGUGACUUCUCGCACAAUGACCAGCGGGUGCUAUAUUUGUCCUGGUGCUGACACGUCUUUAAAUAGCGGAGGUUACGCUUCAAGUUCCCCAUUUAGAGGGCUCACCACCAUCACUUUCACUGAGUGCAGCUCUUCCAGAGCCAUUUGAAAAGGAGCAGAGCCUCCUUGAGCACCGCUUUGAUCCCACAACAUUGUUCUGAACAGAAAUCAUUGCCAGUCUGUGGAGUCUUUGCUAUACCUAUUCUGUAAGCAUUUUCCCUUUUCAUUUUUUUUUUUUCUUCCCUUCCCAAACCACCUCCUCCCAUCUCCAAGUUCCUUCUGAGCUGCCCUCAAGUUGCUCAUCUCCUCCAUUCUCAUUGCAGCCUGUUGGUUCAAGCUGCCCUCGCUGCCUCACCUCGGAUCAAUGCCUGAUUUCCAGCCAUCCCCUGAGAAGCAUGACCUCACCUUUUUGGCUGGGGUGCCCUGCUCCAGCACUGCUGGGACAUCUGUUUGCAAUGUGAGGGAUAGAAAACCGUUGCCUCUUUUCUUUCUUUUGUUUCCAUCACGUUGGUUCUUCGCACUUAGGCUCAGCUCCUGCUAAUUUGUCAUGCUGAUGGAUGCACCUCUGAGCCCAAGAGCUUUGCAGCUGCCCCAGCUGAGCGAGCCCAGCCCAGGCUUUUGCUUCCCAGUCUCUUUCUUUCUAAUAUGAUUUUAGUUAUUCUUCUGACUAUGCUGUCUUUCAGUGAGGACUGCGUUGGCAAAUGGCCGUUCAACCUAAGCUUUCUGCUGCACCAAAAAAGAACCAGGCAUGGGAAAUGAGCCAGAAGAGAGGCCUUUCUGGGUGGAAAGCAGUGUCUGCAGCAGCUCUACAACUGUUUCUAGUAGUGGUCCUUUGUUUGGAGAAGGAGAGAGAGAUUCUCCUUCUGAUGACAGGAGAAAACUUACCCAGUGCAUAGGGUAACCGCUGGGGUUGGGGUGGGUUGGGUUGCACGAGGGUGGAGUGAGGGUGAACUUUGAGGUUCUGCUUUCCUCAUCCUCUGAGCCCUGAGGAGCAGCAGAGCUCUCUGUGUGUUGGCUGUGUGCUGCAAGCUGUGCAGGAGGGAGGUAUGCAGCCCCUGCAGCUCACCUCCUGGAGAGAGGGAAGGGAAAAGGAGCCCAAAUGGCACUGGCUGCGUUUGGGGAACACUGGAGAACAUGGAGCCAUGGGAAGCACCACAGCUUCUCACCACUGCAGAAGCUUUGCUCUCCUCUUGGUGACCCUCCUUGGUUUAGCUGUGCCGUGAACACAUGUAUGACAGUUACUCUGUCUUUGCAAUGUCAGAGUUAAACUUUCCCCUUAUUUUAGCAGAACACAUGGUUUUGCUUAGCACUAGCUGAGGAAUUACAAGCCGUAUGUCUUGAAUAUGUAUCUGCCAAGGUAAGUAAUCUCUGCUGUGAACUUGAACAAUCAAAGCUUGGGGUUAUUUGUUUUCCUACGUAUAGAUUAGCCAGCUGCACGUCUCCAACAUUUGUGGAUGUUUUUGCUGAGCACACCCCCAUGGCUGCACUGAGCCAUCACUGGGAGGGGACCUAGGAGCCCUGCAAAGCACAGUGAGCCAUGGCUAUUGCAAUUUCCAUCAUCAGGUCCUUGCAGAAAGAAUAUCAGGUACGGCGGGAGCUCUUCAAGCACUGAGCUGGGCCCUGAAGGAUGGCAUCACCUCUACUGGAAAACCUCCACCUGUGCUCCUGGCAGGGCUUGCAACAACCAUCCUUUGCUGCUGGAGCCACAGGCGGAGCAGCAGCAGGCACAGAGCCUGCCAGGGCUGGAGCUCAGCAGAAAUGCAUCCAGAGAGCAAAGCACGGCGCUCCGAGUGGCACAGGCAGUGGGAUGCAGGCUGCUCUGUGCUCAGACUGCAUCCCCCCUCUGCAGGGAGGUGUGAGGUCAGGAAGGAAGGAAAGUGUCUGCUCCCUCCUGCCCCAGGGAGCAGCUUGCAGGGAAGGAGCAGGAGGAAACCAUGCGAGUGCAGCGGGGAUUGCUGCAGGGAUCACCAUCCGGCUCUCCAACAGCACUGCUGCCCCACACCAGCACAGAUAAUACAAAAAAUCCAUCAUCAAAGGGACAUAAAGACAACGAAAUCUGCUCAGCACAGCUCCCAGGGCUGUGACCUGCGUGUGAGCUUUGCUCAGCUAGGGACAGGCAGGAACCCGGCUCUGCCUGCCACGUCCUGAGGGUUUUGUUAGGUCCACAGAACACUCAGCACUGCUCUGAUUCAUUUGGGGUUCUUGUUGCUAAUGUAUCCAGGAGGAUUUUCCUGAGCUGCGUCUAUUCUGAGCCCUCUGUGAGCCGCAGCGCUGAGGUGUCUCAGCAGAGACGUGAGUACAGCGAGCCCCGUGUCAGCCCCCAGGCUCCGAAAUAGCCCCGACCCCAGGGAUGAAAGGAGCCCGCAGCACAUCCACAAAGCACUGCAGUGGAGCACGGGGACCUGGUGGCCAAUGCCACCAUGAAUGUGCUGCUUGUGGAGGCGGACGUGCCGUUCACACAGGCAUUGAGGCUGUGCCAUCAAUGAGAUCUUGUUCAGGCUCUGCUUCUUCGGUCCUCAUUGAACGUGGAAGCUGCUGUGAAUUUGAUACCUCCAGAUUCAAACUCGUUCCAUUACAGAGCACACAGAGGGGGCAAGAGGAGAACUCGCUGGGCUGGAUUUUCAGGGGAGCCAAUUAAGCUGCUGGCUGUUGGGCUGAGCUGCUGCCUCUCUGUGAACCUGAUGGAAAGCUGAGAGAGAUUUUUCCUAAAGCUGAGCAAACUGGGCUUCUGGAAAGGCAGCUGGAGCCAAGAGCAGGCAGGUAGAAAUAAUAAGAAUUAGAGACUUAGCCUGAGCGUGGUGUGCAAUGCUGUAAGCUUGGAGGACACUCAUCAUUGCUUUAUGGCCCUGAGAUGACUGUAGAAUGCUGCAAGCAUCCCCAGGCUGCCUCUAUCUCACGUGGACCUCUAAUGGAACUGCACAGCAAGGUGUGAGGCACAGGCUGGGGCUUCAGCACAGCAAUAGGCACAGCAGUGCCUGUGGGUGGCUCAGACUCAUCUCUGACACGUAGGUUUUCCAUACUAACAAUAAUUAAUCUGUGCACUGCCUGCUACCUGGCUGGGGUGGCCACUGCCUCAGCUCUCUGUGUGUCAGAGCAGAGGAGAUGCAGCUAGAGCAAAGGAGCUCACCUGGACCUCUCUGCCCAUUUUUGGGCCCUGGCUAUAGGGCACACGCAGGACAGUGCAUGCUGUAGCAACACAGAAUGAAGUCCUGAUGGAUCACGAGGUGAAGUCCAAACCCCAUUGGGUCCUGGGCAUCAAAUCAGGCUCCCAUCAUGGCCUCAGCCAUCACCUGGCUCUGCUCUGUCAAGUUACACUGCACAAUAAAACCAUAUAGGAAAAGAGCAAACGGACACUGCCUGAUUUAUUUUCAUUUGCCUGAGUUUUUUUUUUAGCUCAAUGUUGAGGAAAGGCUUUGGUAGGAAGCAGUAAUGUUAUUCAUCUGGCUGUAAGCACUGCUGGGUUGAGUGUCUGUUGCCAUGCUUGAUUCCUUGCAGCUGCUCAGGGUUAGUUAAUUAUCUG